RNAcentral lists this transfer RNA (67 nucleotides) under Asymmetricata circumdata. RNAcentral describes it as "tRNA-Val". The record is from RNAcentral. Lineage: Eukaryota; Metazoa; Arthropoda; Insecta; Coleoptera; Lampyridae.
CAAAUUAUAGCUUGAUAAAAGUUUUUUAUUUACAUUAAAAAUUACUGUGUAAUUCAGUAUAGUUUGA